Molecule: transfer RNA, 88 nt
Filed under: bacterium
Lineage: Bacteria
Description: tRNA-Leu
Rfam family: tRNA
About the family: Transfer RNA (tRNA) molecules are approximately 80 nucleotides in length.
Source: RNAcentral
GCGCGAGUGGCGGAAUUUGGUAGACGCGCCAGGUUGAGGGCCUGGUGAGGGCAACCUCUUAAGGGUUCAAGUCCCUUCUCGCGCACCA